GAAAAUCACGGGUUUACGUUUU
Molecule: non-coding RNA, 22 nt
Filed under: Arabidopsis thaliana (thale cress)
Lineage: Eukaryota; Viridiplantae; Streptophyta; Magnoliopsida; Brassicales; Brassicaceae
Source: RNAcentral